CACGCCCUAAACGAUGUCAACUAGUUGUUCGGUGAGGAGACUCAUUGAGUAACGCAGCUAACGCGUGAAGUUGACCGCCUGGGGAGUACGGCCGCAAGGUUAAAACUCAAAGGAAUUGACGGGGACCCGCACAAGCGGUGGAUGAUGUGGAUUAAUUCGAUGCAACGCGAAAAACCUUACCUACCCUUGACAUGUCAGGAAUCCUUGAGAGAUUGAGGAGUGCCCGAAAGGGAACCUGAACACAGGUGC
RNAcentral lists this ribosomal RNA (249 nucleotides) under uncultured bacterium. Its description in RNAcentral is "partial 16S ribosomal RNA". It matches the Rfam family "Bacterial small subunit ribosomal RNA", at positions 796 to 1041 of the family's 1533-position model. The record is from RNAcentral. RNAcentral also lists the same sequence under 1 other name.